UGAUAGUGCAGCCCUAAGUGGGUGGUAAACUCCAUCUAAGGCUAAAUAUGACCACGAGACCGAUAGCGAACAAGUACCGUGAGGGAAAGUUGAAAAGCACUUUGAAGAGAGAGUUCAAGAGUACGUGAAACCGUUUAGGGGUAAACCUGAGAAACCCGAAAGGUCGAAGGGAGAAAUUCAUUCGCGUUUCGCAGUCGGCGUGAGACGAUCGAGUGACGGAAUCCGUCCUUGGGCGUUUUCUGCACCUUUUGUUUUUCGAUCCGAUAGCGAACGCGUGCACUUUUCUCCUGGUAGGACGUCGCGAUCCGUUGGGUGUCGGUCUACGGCUCACGGUGGAGCCCGGAUGUGCGGCUUGCCGUCACGUCCGGACCCGUGUGUCCCGGCUGACUCGCUCGACGGUAUACGAAAGGU
This 411-nucleotide ribosomal RNA is filed under the name Liophloeus tessulatus. RNAcentral describes it as "partial large subunit ribosomal RNA". It matches the Rfam family "Eukaryotic large subunit ribosomal RNA", at positions 275 to 617 of the family's 3401-position model. The record is from RNAcentral. Lineage: Eukaryota; Metazoa; Arthropoda; Insecta; Coleoptera; Curculionidae.